AUGGGGAGCUCUUUGCUGGGAAGGAGCCUGGUGCUGAGUGUGCCAGGAUGGCUCUGGGGGCUGAGGAUGGGGUUAGGUUGGAUGUCCCCACCCUUUUUCCUCACCUGUCAGGUGGGUGAUGCAACAUCUUCUCUCUUGCCUGCAGUUACCUCAUCGCCGAGUGACGUUCUCUGCAGCCAGCCAGGCUCAGGACCUGCAGGACCCCUCCCAGCACAGCUACUACGACAGCGGGCUGGAGGAAUCCGAGACCCCCAGCAGCAAAUCUUCAUCAGGGCCCCGCAUCGGGCCCCUGGCCCUGCCCGAGGACCACUACGAGCGCACCACGCCCGAUGGCAGCAUCGGGGAGAUGGAGCAUCCCGAGAACGAGUCCCCUGAGCGGAGCAGGCUGUGAAGGGGGGCUGCCAUCAGGUAUGUCCGUGUGGCUCCUGCCAGGAUGUCCCAGUUGCCAGGAGGAGCUCCCGUGGGUGCCAGGGAUGCAGUGUGGGCACAGGCCCCAGCCCCCAGCUGAGGGUUUGGGGAGCAUCACUGGGGGCUGGUUUAGGGCAAGAUGUGCUCACACAGUGGUUGGCUGCUGACUUCACCCCUUUGUCCAUGCCGGUGUCAAGCAUUCCCAGCAUUGUCUGGAGCCUUCUCCUGCAUCCUGUGUGUGAAAGCUGUGCCAGGGUGACUUGGGUGUGUGGCAGUCCCAAACUGGUGGCAGGAGGGAGCGUUGGCCAGGGCAGAAAUGCCACCGUGGUGCUCUGGUUUGCUUCUUCCCCGAGCUCAGGGAGUGCCUGUGCAUCUGCCCUGCUUUUGGGAUGAGGGAAUCGUGUGGACCAAUGUGUGUCCCAUGUGAAGGGGGUGCUCCACAUGUCUCAAGUCCCCAGAGCUCCUCAGCAUCUCCCUCCAUCAGUCUGUCAAUGCAGAGAGCUCCACAGUGGUGGAGACAUGGAGAGGAUUUCUGGGAACCACAGGGACAUCUGGAAGUCUGAGCAGCCUCAAGGUCAUGAGCAGCACCUGCUUCCACCCCAGCAUCAGCACCAGACUGGAUCUGCUUGUGGCAGCAGGCAGUCACAUGUCCUGGGGCACUCUGUGAUGUCCCAAAUUUGGGCAGAAAUCAAGGAAUGGCUCGUGACUGGGAUGGCUCUGGGAGGGACACUCAGCUCUGCAUGGAAGUGCCAAAUUCCAACCUCAGAAGCCUCAUGACAGGUGCUGCCUGUGCCAAGGACACCUGGCCAAGGCUCAGGGACACCUGGGGCAGGGGGUGGCUGGUGUGUGAGGACACCAGUAUGUGAACUGGUCUAACUGGUGCUCAUUGUCUGGCUGUGCCAGGAGCAGGGAGCUGUGGUGCCCUGUGGCGCCCUGGGGUGCUGGGCUCCCUCAGGGGCAGGGAUUU
RNAcentral lists this long non-coding RNA (1375 nucleotides) under Zonotrichia albicollis (white-throated sparrow). RNAcentral describes it as "lncRNA (ENSZALG00000003508.1)". Lineage: Eukaryota; Metazoa; Chordata; Aves; Passeriformes; Passerellidae. The record is from RNAcentral.